Molecule: long non-coding RNA, 324 nt
Filed under: Solanum tuberosum (potato)
Lineage: Eukaryota; Viridiplantae; Streptophyta; Magnoliopsida; Solanales; Solanaceae
Description: long non-coding RNA (STUB_LNC005898)
Source: RNAcentral
UGAACUUUAUGAAAGAAAUAUUUUUCUUGAAAAUAUAAUUUUUGAUUAAAUUAAAAAAAUUGUCAACUCUUUAAAUUAGAAAAUAAUUUUAAAUUUUAAAUUAAACCACUCAAAUAAUAGAGUAAUAGAGGAUUGCGGACAAUUGUAAUCAAUUUAAUGAAUCUUAAAUUAAUUGUAACAAGCAAAUAGAAAAAAAUAAAAUAUUAUUAUGAACAAAUAAAAAUAAAAAUAAAAAUUCAAACACAUAAUAAAAAAAUAGAAUAGCAAAAUAAUACUAACAUGAUAUGGAGAUUCGAGAUGCCGAAUAACGAUGAUUAAUGAACA